This 274-nucleotide ribosomal RNA is filed under the name uncultured bacterium. RNAcentral's name for it is "partial 16S ribosomal RNA". It matches the Rfam family "Bacterial small subunit ribosomal RNA", at positions 523 to 796 of the family's 1533-position model. The record is from RNAcentral.
AUACGGGGGGGACUAGCGUUGUUCGGAAUUACUGGGCGUAAAGCGUACGUAGGCGGAUCAGAAAGUAUGGGGUGAAAUCCCAGGGCUCAACCCUGGAACUGCCUCAUAAACUCCUGGUCUUGAGUUCGAGAGAGGUGAGUGGAAUUCCGAGUGUAGAGGUGAAAUUCGUAGAUAUUCGGAGGAACACCAGUGGCGAAGGCGGCUCACUGGCUCGAUACUGACGCUGAGGUACGAAAGUGUGGGGAGCAAACAGGAUUAGAUACCCUAGUAGUCC